UCCGUUUUGUCAACGGCAGUCUCACUAGAGUCCUCAACUUAAUGCUAGCAACUAGUGACAGGGGUUGCGCUCGUUGCAGGACUUAACCUAACACCUCACGGCACGAGCUGACGACAACCAUGCAGCACCUUGAAAAUUGUCCGAAGAAAAGCCUAUUUCUAAGCCUGUCAAUUCCCAUUUAAGCCUUGGUAAGGUUCCUCGCGUAUCAUCGAAUUAAACCACAUAAUCCACCGCUUGUGCGGGCCCCCGUCAAUUCCUUUGAGUUUCAUUCUUGCGAACGUACUCCCCAGGUGGCUAACUUAUCACUUUCGCUUAGUCUCUGAAUCCGAAGACCCAAAAACGAGUUAGCAUCGUUUACGGCGUGGACUAC
RNAcentral lists this unclassified non-coding RNA (370 nucleotides) under uncultured Weeksellaceae bacterium. Its description in RNAcentral is "contains 16S-23S intergenic spacer region". Lineage: Bacteria; Pseudomonadati; Bacteroidota; Flavobacteriia; Flavobacteriales; Weeksellaceae. The record is from RNAcentral.